CCGACGGCCCCCCUGAACGCUGUCUGAAGUUGCAGUCUGAGACCUAUAACGAAAUUAGUUA
RNAcentral lists this ribosomal RNA (61 nucleotides) under Penicillium citrinum. RNAcentral's name for it is "partial 18S ribosomal RNA". Lineage: Eukaryota; Fungi; Ascomycota; Eurotiomycetes; Eurotiales; Aspergillaceae. The record is from RNAcentral.